GCUCAGUCAAUCACCUCAUCAUGCGCCUCCUUCCCAUCUCCGCUGAUUUCGUCUGGGUCGGUCCUGGUUAAUACUUGAAUGGGAGACUGCCUGGGAAUACCAGGUGCUGGAAGCU
This 115-nucleotide ribosomal RNA is filed under the name Xiphophorus couchianus (Monterrey platyfish). The record is from RNAcentral. Lineage: Eukaryota; Metazoa; Chordata; Actinopteri; Cyprinodontiformes; Poeciliidae.